AUGAAGACUAGCUAACCGUGGCUCACAGCUAUGGGAUGGCCUAGGGCUCUCGCCGGA
This 57-nucleotide small nucleolar RNA is filed under the name Aeropyrum pernix K1. Its description in RNAcentral is "APEsR20". The record is from RNAcentral. Lineage: Archaea; Thermoproteati; Thermoproteota; Thermoprotei; Acidilobales; Acidilobaceae.